This 542-nucleotide long non-coding RNA is filed under the name Theobroma cacao (cacao). Its description in RNAcentral is "long non-coding RNA (TCAC_LNC005118)". The record is from RNAcentral. Lineage: Eukaryota; Viridiplantae; Streptophyta; Magnoliopsida; Malvales; Malvaceae.
AGAAAGUGAGAAAAAGGAGUAAAGCACAUAUACUUUAAAGAAAUGUAAAAGAAAGUCUUCUUAACUAUCUCUAUAUUUGAACCACCAAACCAAACUCUUUAGUACAUCCGAAAUGUGAAGAUAACUCAUGAACCUUGUCACUUAUUCUGAGUUACUUUCACUUUCUUGUACAAACAACUGUUCAAUGCUUGUUACUGAGUGUUCUCGAACACCCAUAGGUGCUUCUACACUUGGAAUACCCUGGACGCUUCUAUACUUGAAACACUCUCGAGUGCUUCCUUGUUUGUAACACCUUGGGGUGCUUUCGCGUUCGAAACACCUUGGAGUGUUCAGAACACUCAUAGGUGCUUCACACUUGGAAUACUCUAGGCGAUUAUAUGCUUGGAACACGCCUGAGCGCUUCCCUACUUGAAAUAUCUUGGGCGCUUCCACGUUAGGAACACGUUGGAGCUAUUCCGCUUUCGGAACACCCUGGGCACUUCCACCUUCGGAACACGUGCUUCUACGCUUGGAACACUCUUGAGCGUUUCCUUACUUGGAAC